Non-coding RNA from Chlorocebus sabaeus (green monkey), 1140 nucleotides. The record is from RefSeq and is a predicted model, not a curated record. NCBI's taxonomy places the organism in Eukaryota, Metazoa, Chordata, Mammalia, Primates, Cercopithecidae.
AUGGGGCCCCUCUCAGUGCCUCCUACACACUGCAUAUCACCUGGAAGACUACUACUCACAGCAUCACUUUUAAUCUUCUGGAACCACCCACCACUGCCCAAGUCACGAUUGAAGCACAGCCAACCAAACUUUCUGAGGAAGGAUGUUCUGCUACUUGUCUAAUUUGCCCACAGAAUCUGUGGCUACAGCUGGUACAAAGGGCAAAUAAUGGACGUCCACCAUUACAUCACAUCAUAUGUAAUAGACACUGAAAUGAUUGUAUUUGGGCCUGCAUACAGUGGUAAAGCUGUAUAUUCCAAUGCAUCCCUGCUGAUUCAGAAUGUCACCCGGAAGGACACAGGAUCCUACACCAUACAAAUUAUAAAGCGAGGAGAUGGCUGUAGAUCUGUGGUAGGAUAUUGGUCUAAAAUUCUCUUUUUGGAGACUCCCAAGCCCUCAUCUCCAGCAGCAAACCCCAGGGAGGGGCACGGGAGACUGUGAUCUUAUCCUGUGAUCCUGACACUCAGGAUGUAAGCUACCUGUGGUGGAUAAAUGGUCAGAGACUCCCUAUGAGUCCCGGUUGCAACUGUCCAAAAACAACAGGACCCUCAGUCUAUUUGGUGUCACAAAGGAUACUGCAGGACCCUAUGAAUGUGAAAUGAAGAACCCAGGAGUUCAGCCACCCAGUGACCCAGUCAUGCUGAGUCUCCUCUAUGGUCCAGACUUCCCCAGGAUUUCCCCUUCAUUCACAUAUUACCAUUCAGGAGGAAACCUCUACUUGUACUGCUUCGCGGACUCUAACCCACCGGCAGAGUAUACUUGGACAAUUAAUGGGAAGUUUCUGCAAUCAGGACAAAUACUCUCUAUCCCCCAAAUUACUACAACGCAUAGCGGGCGCUAUGGUUGCUGUGUUCGUAACUCAGUCACUGGCAGGGAACGUUCCACAUUCAAGACGAUCAAAGUCUCUGCUCCUUCAGGAAGAGGACAUAUUCCUGGCCUUAAUCCCAUAUAUCAGCCGUGAUGUCAUUUCUGUAUUUCAGGAAGACUGGCCGUCAUGGUGGUCUUUUCUCCUGUCCUGUUUCCUGCAGGACUGGCUACCAUCUUGGGAGCAUGAAAGACUUAUUGGCCUGUAUCUGGGACUGGAUCUCCUCCUUCUUCCAC